This is a long non-coding RNA of Sapajus apella (tufted capuchin), 952 nucleotides long. RefSeq lists it as uncharacterized. The transcript is spliced from 3 exons. The record is from RefSeq and is a predicted model, not a curated record. NCBI's taxonomy places the organism in Eukaryota, Metazoa, Chordata, Mammalia, Primates, Cebidae.
AUAACCUGUCAAAAGGCAAACCAAAAUGAAAGGACAAGUUAAAGGUGUUUUGAUGUACACAAACACUAAUAUUUCUGUUUGAUUUAGGUUGAUUUACAUAGAACAGAGAUAAAGUUUUACAAUCCAUGGGGUCCUGAGAGUAACAUCAGUCAUUCUGCCAUAAAGCCACUUACUUCCUGAAGCUUCUAAUGAAAUGAUUACAACUUUCAAGGUAAAAUUCACUUAAAGCUUUUUAAAGAUGGUCCCUAUUGGGCCAAGCAUUGAUUUUUGCUCAGCUGAUUUUGUUUUGAGGGAUUAUCAUUUGCAUAUGCCUUUUAAACCUCCUUGGAACAGAGAUACUGAAAUGCUAAAACUUAUUCUCUUCCUUUAUUCUGAUCUCCAGAAACAUUUAUACCAAACAGGAAAGUGAGUUCCAGAUGUAGGGCAGUCAUUUGUCAAUUGCUGAUGCUCAGAUGAAAUUGCCAACAAUGGCCACACAGAUCUCAGAGGAGAAUACGUGGAGUUUUUAAAAGACAGGGUCUCGCUAUGCUGCAUAAGGCAAUCUUGAACUCGGGGCUCAAGCGAUCCUUCAGCCUCAGCCUUCCAAAGUCCUAGGAUUACAGAAAUGCAGUAAACAGGUGGACUACAGUGGGGAAUGCGGCAGAAAGAUUGGUCAGGAGGACACGGCAGGACUCCAAGCAAGCAACAAGGAUGGCCUGAAACAUAGAAGCAGCGGAGAAAAACUUUAGAAAACAGUCUCAAUGGGAGUUGUGUUUGCCUUGAUGCAGGGGCUGUUGUCAUGUAAAGCCAAGGCCUUUCCUUGAUAUAUUCAUUGGCAAUCAGCAUCACUUUCCUACAUAAGCCAACCAGACACAUAACACACCAUCUGGGAUUUCUAGCUUUGCUUUCUUUAAAAUGGGAGAACAUUGGUCGGGCACAGUGGCUCAUGCCUGUAAUCCUAGCACUUUGGGAG